UGCAAGUCGAACGCGUUGGCCCAAUUGAUUGAUGGUGCUUGCACCUGAUUGAUUUUGGUCGCCAACGAGUGGCGGACGGGUGAGUAACACGUAGGUAACCUGCCCAGAAGCGGGGGACAACAUUUGGAAACAGAUGCUAAUACCGCAUAACAGCGUUGUUCGCAUGAACAACGCUUAAAAGAUGGCUUCUCGCUAUCACUUCUGGAUGGACCUGCGGUGCAUUAGCUUGUUGGUGGGGUAACGGCCUACCAAGGCGAUGAUGCAUAGCCGAGUUGAGAGACUGAUCGGCCACAAUGGGACUGAGACACGGCCCAUACUCCUACGGGAGGCAGCAGUAGGGAAUCUUCCACAAUGGGCGCAAGCCUGAUGGAGCAACACCGCGUGAGUGAAGAAGGGUUUCGGCUCGUAAAGCUCUGUUGUUAAAGAAGAACACGUAUGAGAGUAACUGUUCAUACGUUGACGGUAUUUAACCAGAAAGUCACGGCUAACUACGUGCCAGCAGCCGCGGUAAUACGUAGGUGGCAAGCGUUAUCCGGAUUUAUUGGGCGUAAAGAGAGUGCAGGCGGUUUUCUAAGUCUGAUGUGAAAGCCUUCGGCUUAACCGGAGAAGUGCAUCGGAAACUGGAUAACUUGAGUGCAGAAGAGGGUAGUGGAACUCCAUGUGUAGCGGUGGAAUGCGUAGAUAUAUGGAAGAACACCAGUGGCGAAGGCGGCUACCUGGUCUGCAACUGACGCUGAGACUCGAAAGCAUGGGUAGCGAACAGGAUUAGAUACCCUGGUAGUCCAUGCCGUAAACGAUGAGUGCUAGGUGUUGGAGGGUUUCCGCCCUUCAGUGCCGGAGCUAACGCAUUAAGCACUCCGCCUGGGGAGUACGACCGCAAGGUUGAAACUCAAAGGAAUUGACGGGGGCCCGCACAAGCGGUGGAGCAUGUGGUUUAAUUCGAAGCUACGCGAAGAACCUUACCAGGUCUUGACAUCUUGCGCCAACCCUAGAGAUAGGGCGUUUCCUUCGGGAACGCAAUGACAGGUGGUGCAUGGUCGUCGUCAGCUCGUGUCGUGAGAUGUUGGGUUAAGUCCCGCAACGAGCGCAACCCUUGUUACUAGUUGCCAGCAUUAAGUUGGGCACUCUAGUGAGACUGCCGGUGACAAACCGGAGGAAGGUGGGGACGACGUCAGAUCAUCAUGCCCCUUAUGACCUGGGCUACACACGUGCUACAAUGGACGGUACAACGAGUCGCGAACUCGCGAGGGCAAGCAAAUCUCUUAAAACCGUUCUCAGUUCGGACUGCAGGCUGCAACUCGCCUGCACGAAGUCGGAAUCGCUAGUAAUCGCGGAUCAGCAUGCCGCGGUGAAUACGUUCCCGGGCCUUGUACACACCGCCCGUCACACCAUGAGAGUUUGUAACACCCAAAGUCGGUGGGGUAACCUUUAGGAGCCAGCCGCCUAA
This 1447-nucleotide ribosomal RNA is filed under the name Limosilactobacillus fermentum. RNAcentral describes it as "bacterial SSU rRNA". It matches the Rfam family "Bacterial small subunit ribosomal RNA". Lineage: Bacteria; Bacillati; Bacillota; Bacilli; Lactobacillales; Lactobacillaceae. The record is from RNAcentral.